CCUCUUCGAUCUGCUGCGGGCAGAUGAAGUGAAUGUGGGAAUCGAAGCCACCUGCGGUGAUGAUCUUGCCUUCGCCGGCAAUAAUCUCCGUGCCAGGACCGAUAAUGAUACCGACAUUGGGCUGCACAUCCGGAUUGCCCGCCUUGCCGAUCGCCGCAAUGCGCCCAUCUUUGAUUCCGAUAUCGGCCUUCACCACGCCCCAGUGAUCAAGGAUCACUGCAUUGGUGAUGACCGUAUCGACGGCUCCCGCAGCCCGUGUCGUCUGCGCUUGGCCCAUUCCGUCGCGGAUG
RNAcentral lists this small RNA (290 nucleotides) under Microvirga vignae. RNAcentral describes it as "5' ureB small RNA". It matches the Rfam family "5' ureB small RNA". Lineage: Bacteria; Pseudomonadati; Pseudomonadota; Alphaproteobacteria; Hyphomicrobiales; Methylobacteriaceae. The record is from Rfam by way of RNAcentral.